AAGGAACUUAAAUCCUCUUUCGCUGAAACGUGAAACGUGAAAGUUGAAACGCUUUGUGAAACGUAUUACACUGCUACUUACUCUGUUCAGUCCCUUCGAAGAUGGCUUCACCCAGGGGCGGAGCUAGGUUCCGGCUAGGCAUGGCACAUGCCCAGGCUUCUUGCCAAAUUUUUUUUUACUUGGGCCAUAGGCCUUUUUUUUAAAAAAAAAAGAAUUUCAGAUGGGCAAAAACAAAUUUGAUUGACACUGCCCUUGGCCCUUGCACACAACAGUUUUCCUCUCUUCUCUUAGUCUCACGCUCACGCACAUGGAAAACAUUCUCUGAAAUUCUGAAACGGCUUGAAUCUUCCCUUGUGCCUGCUUCUUCUUCGUCGCUUGUUCCUGAUUUGUGCCUUGCAGUUGUGCCUGUUUGUGACUGCUUCUUCCUCUCUCUCUAUCUUGUUCAGUUGUUCUAUUAGGCUUCAAAAUAAUCCUGGCUCCGCCACUGGCUUCACCCACAGAAUCGCAUCAUCUCUUCUUCAAUCGCCGAUCACCCAAAUCCUUCCUCACCAAUUCCUCAACCCACAGGAUCUCAUCUCAAGGAGGCCGAUUUGGAGGACAAACUUCAGUUUUAGAGUCAGAUCAACGCAGAACUACGAGAUGAAAGGAGCAGCAAUCGAUAAAGAAGGGGAUUCCAGUAUGAUUUGCCGAAGAUUAGGGGUUUUAAUCUUGGGAUUUUGUUUAUUGAUUUCACGUUAUGGUAUCGCAGGGCGCAACUCUCUAUUCUGCCAUGCCAGGAGGCUUCUGAGACAGUGAUGAGGCUUUAGAAGAUUCCUUGGUGCCCGAAAGGUUGAUAUGCAAAAUUAAAAUGCCUUUACUUGAGGAGAGAGCAUGUGCCAGAACAGACUCAUUAUGUAGGUUAGCAUUGCAGCAUAUAGAUAUGCUUGAAGCUGCUCUCGGAGACAAAAACAAUAAAGCAUGGUGUUGUCAUCUUCUAUCUCUCUGAAUCACCCGUCUCCAAAGGUUCUAUAGCUCAAAUAUGCUUAAUUGACAACAAGAUCGGUUAUGAAGUUUUUAUCAUUAGUCAUGGACUACAACUUCUAAUAAGGGUUCAUGUUGUUGUCAUUGUUAUGUUUAUCUCAUUUCAAUUUCAAUAUAAUGCAUUUCUUAAAAACUUGAUUCUUAUUACUAUUCAAAUGUUGACAUUGUGAGGUCUAUACAACCUCAUCAAAUUAAUAUAUUUAUUGUGGUCCAUUCAUCUACAUGUUUGUAACAUAUGUUCGGUUCCAUAUCUGUUCUACUUACUAAAAAGAGCCUAAAUUAAGUCAAAACAUAUUUCUACUGAUUCAUCUUUACAAUAAAUUUAAUCGCCGUGCAACGCACGGGUAAAGAACACUAGUAAAUCUUAUAGCAACAUUGUUUACUUUUCUUUUUUGAAUAGUUACAUUCUUUCUCAGUCAAGGUAUAUGUUAGAUGUGGGUUUUAUGUUAUGACUGCUUGAUUCUAUUUUCAAUCUCAUGUUCUAUUUUAAUCUGUUUCAAUUUUUUUUGUUAUUUCUCUUAUAAGUUCCUCUAUUGUUUAGAUUUUUUGUUCAUUUUUUUGUAAUUUUGUAAUUUUGUAAUGUGUUUAUUUUGUAAGUGAUCUGAAGUGUUGUUUAGAUAAUUUCCUUUUUCCUAUGUCAGCUGAAAACUACAGAAAAGCACUUCAAAUGGUGCUGCAGGAAGUGCUUUGCGAGUAGUGGUUACUGCAUAUUUUGAUUGAAAUAUUCAAAGAGCUGAUAAUCUGCUGCUUUUCAUAAUAUUGACAUCUUUUACUACAUAAAUAUGCUAUUGAAUAGCUAUUAAGUUGAUUAUCAUACUAUGAGUAAAAGUAGGCAUCGUUCUUACUCUUUUUUACACUUGAAAUUGGUUUUCGCUCUAAAUUAGCUUUAUAUUUAUAAUAAUAUUUUCUACAUGGGAUGCAGAUCAAUUUGACUUAUGAUUACCAGUUUGUUUAAUUUAGUGUAGAUCAAGAUUUUCAUUGCGGAGCAACGAUCCCAACAGUUUGGAAGAUAUCCUCUCCGCAAGUCAUGCUUUUGAGGAUCCAAAUGAAGGUUAGUUCGAGGGCAAUAGGCAUAAGCUAGGUGUGCGACUUACCAAGCCUAAAAUGUCCAGGUACUGCAUUAAAAUUAAUUGAAUAUCUGGUGGCUUCAUCUUCUCUGACAUAACACAACUUCAUCUAGAGUAUAUAUAUAUAUAUAUAUAUAUAUAUAUAUAUAUAUAUGUCUCUAACUCUCCAUGGUUGUUGAAUUAUAUCAAAUUACUUAACCGAACUGAAUUUCAGCAUCUUUCUAUUGUUUCAAAACUUUGCUAUGAGCUAAUGCUUUUUAAUUUGUUGAUAUAUUAUAUAAUUUGUCAAAUUUUCAUUGGAUUUUUUAUUGAAGACAUGUAUCUAUUUUAGCAACGGAUGUGCCACCAUUUCCAAACAUAUGUACUGAAUGAUUUAUUGAUUAUGAUUGAUGUUGGGUUUGGGAAAAGAUUAUGAUUCCUUUUUUCUUUUCUACUUCAAUUUCUCCUAACUCAGGUUUAACCUUUUGUUUGCAUAAGAGGUUUACUAGGGUUGGACUAUAAUUAGAAUGAUUUGGAGGAACUAUUAUCACAUUCGAUAGGGAAUUGGUGGCUAUUUUACCUGUCUGUACAUAGUCGAGAAGCAAUUGGCAAUUGCUAUUUUACGCAUCUGCUAACAAGCUAUGGAAGGUGAAAGGAGAAUCCUUGAUCCGUUAGAGGGAACCUUCUGAAAAUUAGAGCACUGCAUGAGUUCUCUAAUUCCUUUAUCUUUUCUAUUUUUCACUGCUUUUAAUAUGCAUUUGUUAUGUUGAUCUUAGAUAGCUCUCUAGGCUCUCAAUUUGAUGAUAUAAGACCUCUGGUGAGGUUAAAAUGGGUGCCUCUUUGUCA
Molecule: long non-coding RNA, 2912 nt
Organism: Lotus japonicus
Lineage: Eukaryota; Viridiplantae; Streptophyta; Magnoliopsida; Fabales; Fabaceae
Exons: 6
Source: RefSeq, a predicted model, not a curated record